RNAcentral lists this long non-coding RNA (1360 nucleotides) under Homo sapiens (human). RNAcentral's name for it is "HSALNT0285907". Lineage: Eukaryota; Metazoa; Chordata; Mammalia; Primates; Hominidae. The record is from RNAcentral.
CACAUUUCCAUGUACCUGAGUCAUCAAAAUUUCUAAAUCUGGUGGGUUCUUCACCCUAGAGUCCCAAGAGUGCCAUAAGAUACAUCCUGGCAUGGCAGUGGCCAGAGGGGCUGGUCUGGAAAGGGUGACAGAGGCCCUGAUGUCUCAGGGAAAAGCACUCAGCAUGAACCAGUAAUCUGCACAAGGGUCGACCUAGUCCAGAAAGAACUUUUCCUGGGCUCGGUUCCCACCCUGGUGGUCACAUCGCCGUGACUCAGCAGGAAGAGGCCUCCCCAGAGCCCAGGUCUCUCACAGUUAAGUGUUGUCAGAGGCUGCCGCGUGGGCCAGCAGUCCAUCUCAUUGGGUUAGCAGCAGCAUUCCAACCCACAGGAUUUGUUCACAGGCUGGAAUGCUGGCCUCAGGGCUGGGCAGUGGCACUUCCUCCACUUGGUCCUGAUGCUUGCAGUGAUACCCUGUGGUGGUGCCAUAAAUCAGCUCUGCUCUGUGCUUUCCCAGAGAGAUUUCCAAAUGAAUUGCCCUCCAAGCAGGCAGCGUGAGAUACCUCCUUUCAGAUGUCAUGAACUAGAUGGAAUUUUGUUUUUACUAGAGGGGGGUAAAUAGCAAUGCCAGGCUAUGAUGUUGGAGUCUAUUCAGUUUGCCUCACUUGACCCACAUGUCAGUUAUGAGCUAAACCUCACAGGCUGUCUCCUCAGGGUUAGUGGUUAUUUUUCCUCAGCUAGAGGGAAGAACAAAGGAAUGGAGCCCAGAUGCACCAGAAUGGGGACCUGGUGGAAGAACUGAAAAAGCUGGGGAUCCGCUCCACCCUUUUAGAUGAAAAGUAAGAAAGAAAUAUGGAUGUGCCCAUAGCACACAUUACUCAGCUUUGAAACUGGCAGAUAAGGCUGUUGCCUUACAGAAGGGCAGAGAAACAUGAAGGAAUCAACCCAAGUCCAUGAGUGACUGAAUGAGUUGAGUAGGCCACCUAUGUGCUCUGGACUGUCAAGUGGAGAGAAACUUGACAAGUGGUGAGUUCUUUGACUCCCUGUACUAUUGGGUUUUUAUAUUAUAGAGGCUUAGCCCUUUAAGCCUGAUAAAGCCAGGGAAACUUGGAGGUCUGAAAGCUCCGAUUGGUAGCUUGUGGGGAAGAGUGGCUCUUGGUGGCACAGGACAGGUGGGAAGGAAAAGGGAGUCAGGAUUUGGCACAAGACUACCAACCAUGGUAGGUGGGUAUGGCAAGUGCGUGUCCAGUUGAUUUCUAAGGAUGAUUUUGGUGGUACUGCCAGGUAGGGGAGAUAAGAAAUAAGGAAUAAGCUUGGUUGUGAGUCAUACAGAAGUGUAGUUUUCUUAUGAGAAAGAAUAACUGAGUCAGGGGAAAUGGUAC